AGCAAAGUGACUUUUCCUCCUCGUUCCUCCAAGGCUUUCCUCACUAUUCAGGGUUCCUCAGCAAACAUGGAGCAUGGAGCACCUAGACCGCCAAAUCCAGAGAGGAGACCCGUGCUGUCAGGCUGAAGGGGAUACAGGUCACUGAAUCCAAGGCCACCUGUGGAGGGAAGAGUUGAGAUGUCAGUGAGAACCUCCAGAACCUCCAGAAGGAAGUGGCCCUGCUGACUGACACCUUGACUUUGGCCCCAGUGAAGCUGAUCUGGCACUUCUGGCCUUCGGAAGUGUAACAGACUAGACCGGCAUCAUUUGAAGUCCCCGAGUUUGUGAUGCUAAUCUCAGUUUUAUGAGUAACAAGUUGGACAAAUCACAGACACCUGGGUACUUCACCUUCUAAGAUUAGUGACCGCUCAGGCCCCAUCAG
Prionailurus viverrinus (fishing cat) is the source of this 421-nucleotide long non-coding RNA. RefSeq lists it as uncharacterized. The record is from RefSeq and is a predicted model, not a curated record. NCBI's taxonomy places the organism in Eukaryota, Metazoa, Chordata, Mammalia, Carnivora, Felidae. The transcript has 5 exons.